Equus caballus (horse) is the source of this 2871-nucleotide non-coding RNA. Lineage: Eukaryota; Metazoa; Chordata; Mammalia; Perissodactyla; Equidae. The record is from RefSeq and is a predicted model, not a curated record.
GUAGUAAUCACCUUUCUUAUUUGGGUACACCUUUGGUUUCUUUGGUUCUGCACUGCUUCUAGUUGUAUUUGAGAGCCUGCACUUUCCACCCUCCACUGCCUCUGCUAGAGGUGUCAUCAGUGCCCUCCUUGUGCUGCUUGUGCCUCUGAGGUUGCUGGUGCCUUGCUGCUUAUGAUGCUGCUGCAGUGUCUGGUGUUGCCACCAGGGUCACCAGACUGUGAGCACUUUUGCUGUUUCUGGAGUAGCCUGGGUCUCAUAUUCCCCUGCUUGCUCUCUGUAGGCUCUUUAUGGGCUUGGGCACCACUACCCUGUGCACCACCUGCACUGCUGUUCCUGGGUUAUCUGGAGGUGCUAGCAGCACUACUGUCAGGGAAGCUGGGUUCACAGGUGUUGUUGCUUUCAGGGACCUGGGUUCUUGUAUGCAGCCCCUGCUACUGCUGAGCUGAUGUUGGGGGUGUCACCACUGGGGGCUGGUUCUCAGGUUCUGCUGUGUUUGCUGAAGCGUCAGGUCAUGGAUGCCACCUGCCACUGCUGAGGGAGGAGUACGGACUAAGUCACAAGUGUUAUUGCUGGCCUUGAAGUCUCUGGUCACUGGCACCCACUGGUGUGCUUUCUCAGACCUCAGGUUAGGGCACCCUGCUUCUGCCAGUGAAAUCCACAUUUUGGUUGCUGUCCCUACUGUUGGAGAAACCAGCUCCACUGUCAGGGAAGGAGGAUGGGGCUGGGUCACUGGCACCACUGUGUGUCCUGAAGCCUCAGGACACAUGUGUCACCUGCCACCUCUGGGAGGGGCAGGGGCUGCAGCCUCUGGUUGCUGGCACUGGUGUGCACAGUGAUAGUCUACUAUGAAACCUGGGAUCAGGGGACCCUGCUCUUGCUUGGGAAACUCACACCUUGGAUGUAGUCUCCACUGCUGGAAAGACUGGUGCCACUGCUAGAUGAGGGGGAGGGGCUUGGGUUGCCAGCUCCACUGUGUCCCCCCUGCUGCUGGAGGGGGGCAGGGGCCAAGCCAUGAGUACCAUGUUUGCCCUUGUAGCCUGUGGUUGCUGGCAUGUGCACUGAUGUGAGGAUCUGUGUUUUGGAUCACCAGUGCCAUUGCUGGUGAGGAGCCGAAGAAUGGAGGAGUAGGUAGGUAAGUUAAAACAAGACAGGGUUCUUUUACAAAAAUUGAGUAGCUUCUUUCUUCAUUUAACAUUCCCCUGGUGGUUGUAAGUUUUUGAUUCUAUUCUAGAGUUCUGAAAAAGUUGAUUCUGAUAGUUUUUUUCCAGCUUUAUAAUUGUUUUUUGGAAUUUCUGACUUCAUUUUCAGUGACAUCAUCAGAUCUGUUGGUUUUGAUUCUAAAAUACCUCUAAAAUAUGACUUCUUUUUAUCCCUCUCUACUGCCAUCACUCUGGGCCAGGCAUUAUCAUUUCUCACCUCAUUGCAGUGGCUUCCUAACUGGUCUUCUGACUCCCACCAUGGUUUUUCAACAAGCUAGAAUGAGAUUUCAAAACACUAAUCUGCUCAGAUCACUCCCUUGCUUAAUGAAACCAUUGUUUUCAGAAAAAGGCCUAAGCUUUCAUCUUUUCUUUCACUCUCUGCGCUUUAGCCACACUCCCUUCUCCUAUGGACUUUGGAUAGAAUCUUCCUUCUGCCUGAAAUGCUUUAUCCAUCAUUUCAUCUUGUUAAUGCCUAUCACCUUUUACGUCUUGGCUUAAGCAUCACUUUCUAGUGGAAGGCUUCCUUGAUCUUCUCAGACAAGGCUCUUAGCACCUUGUAUUUUUCUUUUAUAGCACUUGAGUUAAACGUUCACUUGCACAAUUAUUUGGUUAAUGGCUAUGUCCUUAACUAGGCUGUAAGCUUCACAAAUGCUUUGUUUACCGCUUCUAUUUCCAGUGUUUAACAACCAUGGGUUGAAUGGUGGUCCCCCAAAAUGUAUGCCCAUGUCCCAAUCCCCAGAACCUGUGAAUGUGAUCUUACUUGGAAAAAGGGUCUUUGUAGAUGUAAUUAAGUUAAGAUAGUGAGGUGUGGAGAUCAUCCUGUAUUAUCUGGAUGGGCCCUAAAUCCAACGACUAGUGUCCUUAUAAGAGACAUACAGAGGAAAAGACAAGAGGAGAUAACGUGACCACAGAGGCAGAGGUUUGAGUGAUGUGACCACAGGCCAAGGAACACUAACAGACACCAGAAGCUGGAAAAGGCAAGGAAUGGAUUCUUCCCUAGAAUCUCCCGAGGGAGUGUGGCCCUGCUGACACCUUGAUUUUGGACCUCUGGCCUCCAUAACAGAAAAAAUUUCUCUUGUUUUAAGCCACCUAGUUUAUGGUAACUUUUUACGCCUCCACAGGAAUUGAUGGGCAGCAAAUAUUUAUUGCCUGAAUGAACAAAUAAAAGCUGGAAAUGUUUUAAUUAUUUUGGAGUCAUUAGGCUCAAAAAAAAGCUUUCAGGAUUCUGAGCCAAAUCUAGGCUCAGCAGGAGAAAGUGUUGUGAUUUUUCAGGGAUUGUACUCAUUUAGUUAGGCUAGGUUAAUAGCAAGUUAACCUCCAAGUAGCAGGGGAUUAACACAAUUGAAGUCUACUCUGUGCUCAUGCUCCAUGUCCAACAUGGGUCUGUAGGAGUGGGGGUGGGGGCUGAAGAGGUGACACUGCUCCAGAUAGUCAUUAGGGACACAGGCUGAUCAUCUGGAACACGUGACUUCUCUAGUCACCACAGAAGGCGAACAAAGCACAAGGGGACUUCACGCUGGCUCUUCUCCACUUCAAGCUGGUAGUGACCCUCAUCAAGUCUAGUCCUAGCUCUUUGGCUGUUAUUGGUCACAUGACAACGCCUAACUGGGAGGCCACAGUGCCUAUAGUAGCACGUAGGAAUUGGAUGAACAGAAGGAAUUCUCGGGAGCCA